RNAcentral lists this ribosomal RNA (486 nucleotides) under uncultured bacterium. Its description in RNAcentral is "bacterial SSU rRNA". It matches the Rfam family "Bacterial small subunit ribosomal RNA", at positions 28 to 509 of the family's 1533-position model. The record is from RNAcentral.
GAUGAACACUAGCGGCAGGCUUAACACAUGCAAGUCGAACGGCAGCACAGGUAGCAAUACUGGGUGGCGAGUGGCGCACGGGUGCGUAACGCGUAUGCAACCUACCUCUAUCUGGGAGAUAGCCCGAAGAAAUUCGGAUUAAUACCCCAUAAUAUAUGUCUUUCGCAUGUUAGACAUAUUAAAGCUUUGGCGGAUAGAGAUGGGCAUGCGUGACAUUAGCUAGUUGGUAAGGUAACGGCUUACCAAGGCUACGAUGUCUAGGGGGUCUGAGAGGAUUAUCCCCCACACUGGUACUGAGACACGGACCAGACUCCUACGGGAGGCAGCAGUGAGGAAUAUUGGACAAUGGGCGAAAGCCUGAUCCAGCCAUGCCGCGUGCAGGAAGACGGCCCUAUGGGUUGUAAACUGCUUUUAUAUGGGAAUAAACCUCCGAACGUGUUCGGAGCUGAAGGUACCAUACGAAUAAGGAUCGGCUAACUCCGUGCC